This is an RNA transcript of Papaver somniferum (opium poppy), 1305 nucleotides long. RefSeq lists it as uncharacterized. The record is from RefSeq and is a predicted model, not a curated record. The transcript has 7 exons. NCBI's taxonomy places the organism in Eukaryota, Viridiplantae, Streptophyta, Magnoliopsida, Ranunculales, Papaveraceae.
UUUUCCUCAUUGUUCUCUCGAUUGUUAGCAAGCGUUGCAGAAGCCAUUCAAUCCCUUUGAUUCAUACCCGGAUGCGUUACGCUAGAACAACACAUAAACCUCAACAAAGGUUAUCAUUUUCCCAAGUUCUCCAUUUCUUUCUUCAACAUAUUCUCUCCAGUCUCGAGAGUCGAGACUACCAGGUUUUGUGAGUGCAUGAUAUAUUUGGAGACAAACCAGUAUCAAUCUCAGGGUCAAUUGCAAUUCAACUUCGUUUAACCAUUGGCAUUACAGCCUUCGUGGAGAAGACCCUUCAACUCUAUAAAACGAAGAACAACUUUAUGUGCAAUCACAAAUGCUACUCCAUCCUCUACCUGGAAUUGCAAUUCACUGUUUUUUUUUCUUUUGGUCUAGCACGCGAAGCUCAAGCUAUGCUAAUUUUUUAACAUUCUGGGUUGGAUUAGUGAGAGAAAGAGACAAAAAGUACAUAGCGGCUUACAAAUCCCAGGUACAGUACCGAAUUAUUGUCAAAGCCAGUGCAACUCGAAUUUUGGCUACCACCAAGUGGUAAUAUUUGGGCUGCAACAAGUGCGCACCACUACAGUGGUAGGUGAAGUCGGGAACCAUGAAUGCACUAAAUGUGAAAACAAGGUCGAGGAACCUGUAACGCGGUACCUUCUUCGUUUUAAAGUGAAACUAUAUCGGCAGGACCAUAUUUGCGUCGGUGGACAGUGAAGUCUGAUGGAUCAUCCACCCCACUGCCUUGGACAUAGUCAGGAGGAAGAGAAAAGUGAAAGGUGGUUGUAGCUUUUGAUAAGAUCCUCCUGAAUGUUGAACUACCAAAUUAUGCUUGCAGUGUAUAACGUGAAGAAGCAAACCACCCCCAUGAAGCCCAACCUCCCCUCCAUCUACUACUGCACCUGCGUAUAACGUGACCUAGAUGCAGAUGAUUAAACACUAACUGCGAAGACCCGGUUGUCCCCUAAAUGCCACCUCCACUUUGGUUUAUAGCGAUGAAGACUAGCUUUGUAAUUCCAUUCCAAAAAAAAUCAUACUUCUCUGCCAUACACACAAGGUCAAUGUUAAUCAAUGACGAGCACUAUGGUAGGUGAUUAAAGUUAAGGAGGGAUGACUUUAACAAAAUAUCAAUAAAGGGUAGAAUCUGUCUUCGCAAGGUUGGUAACUCACCUCUCCAAGGUUACUAACUUGGAUCGCAAUGUUGUGAAUUGGGUUAUACGAUUAUCUGGAUAUGAAAUUUAAGAAUUAUUGUUUUUGUUCUUUCAGUGGAUAACCAUAACAAUGAAACCAAGUAUUGCACUUAUCCAA